RNAcentral lists this ribosomal RNA (419 nucleotides) under uncultured archaeon. RNAcentral describes it as "bacterial SSU rRNA". It matches the Rfam family "Archaeal small subunit ribosomal RNA", at positions 330 to 748 of the family's 1478-position model. The record is from RNAcentral.
GCGCAGCAGGCGCGAAACCUUUACACUGUACGCAAGUGCGAUAAGGGGACUCCGAGUGUGAAGGCAUAGAGCCUUCACUUUUGUACACCGUAAGGUGGUGUACGAAUAAGGGCUGGGCAAGACCGGUGCCAGCCGCCGCGGUAAUACCGGCAGCCCGAGUGAUGGCCGAUAUUAUUGGGCCUAAAGCGUCCGUAGCUGGCCGGACAAGUCCGUUGGGAAAUCUGUUCGCUUAACGAGCAGGCGUCCAGCGGAAACUGUUCGGCUUGGGACCGGAAGACCUGAGGGGUACGUCCGGGGUAGGAGUGAAAUCCUGUAAUCCUGGACGGACCACCGGUGGCGAAAGCGCCUCAGGAGGACGGAUCCGACAGUGAGGGACGAAAGCUAGGGUCUCGAACCGGAUUAGAUACCCCCGUAGUCCA